Molecule: long non-coding RNA, 1349 nt
Filed under: Callithrix jacchus (white-tufted-ear marmoset)
Lineage: Eukaryota; Metazoa; Chordata; Mammalia; Primates; Cebidae
Description: lncRNA (ENSCJAG00000079303.1)
Source: RNAcentral
GUGAAAAUUCAAAUCCAAACCAGAAUUUGAGGAGGCAGGGCUCAUUUGGAAACUCCUUUUGUUUAUAAUGUAGGUUUUUCUCCCUUUAUGAAGCAGAUGCUUAUACAAGCAUUACUAGUGUUGUCAAUAACACUGUAACAUUUGCCUUCAAUCCCUUUGUUGCUCAGGGAACAUGUUGGGUUUCGGCACAUUUAGCUUUGCCAUUUACUUCACAAAUUGCAGCUGGGUAGUGCUACAACUAAGUUGAUUUGACUGAGAAUAAAAACUGAAGAACAAAAAUUCUCCUAACGACCUUUCCAGUAAUCACAGGACUGAAAUGCUUUGGGGUGUGUGUGUGUGUGUGUGUGUGUGUGUGUCUGUCUGCGUGUUUUCCAAACAACUUGGUUUCAGUACAGUGAUGCUUCAGUAAGAAUCUUCCUGCAAAUCUAAUUCAAAAGGGAAGGCUUUGUUGUUAUUAAACACAAUGGCAGUUUGUACAGUCUCCACAUCAUUAUGUUGCUUCUCAUUAUGGUAAUUCAUUUGCUUCUGCUUUGUAUGGAUAUCAAAUAAAAAUCACUCUUGCUCCUGGCAAGUGAUUGCAUUAUGGAGACACUCUGGGAACCCAGCUAAACGGUGCUUGGUGUCAUAGCAAACACAAUUAGCAAAAUGGCAUCCAGAGUGGCUGUAUGGAGUUGGCCUGUGGUGAAUUUCAACCUGUGAGUGAUGUGAAUGAUUCCUUUGAAGGUCCUGGCUGUUUCUGCUCUCAGUCAUCCUUGGGGAAAAAGGUGAGUUUUGAAUUUGGAGAACGAAACUGCCAUUUUCACUAUCUGGACCAGAGGAUUUAGGAUAUAAUUACUAUGGGAUAAAGUGGCCUAGUGAGUCUGAUCAAUGGUAGUGGAAAGAAAAGUACAAGAUGAAUUGAUCAUGUUGUUAUAUGGAGUUAUUUGAGAGCGAGGUAGGGACUCUAAAGUUGGCUCUAGGGUUUGUGAACACUAAGGAGCCAACAGCAGAGAAAGAGUGACUUAUUUUUAGCACUGAGUUCUCUAAAUGGCAAACUUUCACUUUUGGCCAACACCACUUACUUAUCUUAACUAUGCUUUUACAAAAAUCGGGGAGCAAUCAGAGUCCAUGCUUGGAUCAAAUCUACACAGAGUAAGCAGCCCUCAGGAGUAAGUUCCAAGAGGAGACCACAAGGCAUGGAUGUCUGGAAUGCCAGGAUUAGGAAGCCAGAGUAGGUAAAAGGGCCACAUAAGUACCAGGAUUGAUUUGCAGAACAUGUAGUAGACUGGACCAGAGUCCCAGAAACUAGUUGGGUUGGAGAAAACCUACAGAAAGUUUUGACUUCCUUUCCUUGUGGGGAUUUGGGAGCC